AACGCGAAGAACCUUACCAGCCCUUGACAUGGUGAUUAAGAUUUUCAGAGAUGAAGAUUGUCGGUUCGGCCGGAUCACACACAGGUGCUGCAUGGCUGUCGUCAGCUCGUGUCGUGAGAUGUUGGGUUAAGUCCCGCAACGAGCGCAACCCUCUUCUUCAGUUGCCAUCAUUAAGUUGGGAACUCUGGAGAUACUGCCGGUGAUAAGCCGGAGGAAGGUGGGGAUGACGUCAAGUCCUCAUGGCCCUUAUGGGCUGGGCUACACACGUGCUACAAUGGCGGUGACAACGGGAUGCAAAGGCGCGAGCCCCAGCAAACCCCUUAAAAGCCGUCUCAGUUCGGAUUGUUCUCUGCAACUCGAGAGCAUGAAGUUGGAAUCGCUAGUAAUCGCGGAUCAGCAGGUCGCGGUGAAUACGUUCCCGGGCCUUGUACACACCGAGUAUA
RNAcentral lists this ribosomal RNA (443 nucleotides) under uncultured bacterium. Its description in RNAcentral is "bacterial SSU rRNA". It matches the Rfam family "Bacterial small subunit ribosomal RNA", at positions 958 to 1398 of the family's 1533-position model. The record is from RNAcentral.